This 379-nucleotide ribosomal RNA is filed under the name uncultured bacterium. RNAcentral describes it as "bacterial SSU rRNA". It matches the Rfam family "Bacterial small subunit ribosomal RNA", at positions 28 to 407 of the family's 1533-position model. The record is from RNAcentral.
GACGAACGCUGGCGGCGUGCUUAACACAUGCAAGUCGAGCGGUAAGGCCCUUUCGGGGGUACACGAGCGGCGAACGGGUGAGUAACACGUGGGUGACCUGCCUUUAGCUCUGGGAUAAGCCUGGGAAACCGGGUCUAAUACCGGAUAUGACUCCGCGGCGCAUGUUGUGGGGUGGAAAGCCUUGUGCGGCUGGAGAUGGGCCCGCGGCCUAUCAGCUUGUUGGUGGGGUGAUGGCCUACCAAGGCGACGACGGGUAGCCGGCCUGAGAGGGCGACCGGCCACACUGGGACUGAGACACGGCCCAGGCUCCUACGGGAGGCAGCAGUGGGGAAUCUUGCGCAAUGGGCGAAAAGCCUGACGCAGCGACGCCGCGUGAGGG